This 407-nucleotide ribosomal RNA is filed under the name Verrucomicrobiota bacterium. RNAcentral describes it as "Verrucomicrobia bacterium partial 16S ribosomal RNA". It matches the Rfam family "Bacterial small subunit ribosomal RNA", at positions 355 to 776 of the family's 1533-position model. Lineage: Bacteria; Pseudomonadati; Verrucomicrobiota. The record is from RNAcentral.
UGGGUAAUAUUGGGCAAUGGGCGAAAGCCUGACCCAGCAACGCCGCGUGAAGUAUGAAGGCCUUCGGGUUGUAAACUUCUUUGAUCAGGGAAGAAACAAAUGACGGUACCUGAAAAACAAGCCACGGCUAACUACGUGCCAGCAGCCGCGGUAAUACGUAGGUGGCGAGCGUUAUCCGGAUUUACUGGGUGUAAAGGGCGUGCAGGCGGGCUGAUAAGUCAGAUGUGAAAUCCCCGAGCUUAACUCGGGAACUGCAUCUGAUACUGUUGGUCUUGAGUGCUGGAGAGGAUAGUGGAAUUCCUAGUGUAGCGGUAAAAUGCGCAGAUAUUAGGAGGAACACCAGUGGCGAAGGCGGCUAUCUGGACAGUAACUGACGCUGAGGCGCGAAAGCGUGGGUAGCAAACAGG